UACGGGGGGGCGAAGCGUUGUUCGGAAUUACUGGGCGUAAAGGGCUCGUAGGCGGCCAACUAAGUCAGACGUGAAAUCCCUCGGCUUAACCGGGGAACUGCAUCUGAUACUGGAUGGCUUGAGUUCGGGAGAGGGAUGCGGAAUUCCAGGUGUAGCGGUGAAAUGCGUAGAUAUCAGGAGGAACACCGGUAGCGAAGGCGGGUCUCUGGGCCGAUAUUGACGCUGAGGAGCGAAAGCGUGGGGAGC
RNAcentral lists this ribosomal RNA (246 nucleotides) under uncultured bacterium. Its description in RNAcentral is "partial 16S ribosomal RNA". It matches the Rfam family "Bacterial small subunit ribosomal RNA", at positions 524 to 769 of the family's 1533-position model. The record is from RNAcentral.